Molecule: ribosomal RNA, 253 nt
Filed under: uncultured bacterium
Lineage: Bacteria
Description: partial 16S ribosomal RNA
Rfam family: Bacterial small subunit ribosomal RNA
Source: RNAcentral
UACGGAGGGGGCUAGCGUUGUUCGGAAUUACUGGGCGUAAAGCGCGCGUAGGCGGCUUUGUAAGUCAGAGGUGAAAGCCCGGAGCUCAACUUCGGAAUAGCCUUUGAGACUGCAUCGCUUGAAUCCGGGAGAGGUGAGUGGAAUUCCGAGUGUAGAGGUGAAAUUCGUAGAUAUUCGCAAGAACACCAGUGGCGAAGGCGGCUCACUGGCCCGGUACUGACGCUGAGGUGCGAAAGCGUGGGGAGCGAUCCGG